RNAcentral lists this ribosomal RNA (1444 nucleotides) under uncultured organism. Its description in RNAcentral is "SSU rRNA". It matches the Rfam family "Bacterial small subunit ribosomal RNA". The record is from RNAcentral.
ACGCUAGCUACAGGCUUAACACAUGCAAGUCGAGGGGCAGCAUGGUCUUAGCUUGCUAAGGCCGAUGGCGACCGGCGCACGGGUGAGUAACACGUAUCCAACCUGCCGUCUACUCUUGGACAGCCUUCUGAAAGGAAGAUUAAUACAAGAUGGCAUCAUGAGUCCGCAUGUUCACAUGAUUAAAGGUAUUCCGGUAGACGAUGGGGAUGCGUUCCAUUAGAUAGUAGGCGGGGUAACGGCCCACCUAGUCUUCGAUGGAUAGGGGUUCUGAGAGGAAGGUCCCCCACAUUGGAACUGAGACACGGUCCAAACUCCUACGGGAGGCAGCAGUGAGGAAUAUUGGUCAAUGGGCGAGAGCCUGAACCAGCCAAGUAGCGUGAAGGAUGACUGCCCUAUGGGUUGUAAACUUCUUUUAUAAAGGAAUAAAGUCGGGUAUGCAUACCCGUUUGCAUGUACUUUAUGAAUAAGGAUCGGCUAACUCCGUGCCAGCAGCCGCGGUAAUACGGAGGAUCCGAGCGUUAUCCGGAUUUAUUGGGUUUAAAGGGAGCGUAGAUGGAUGUUUAAGUCAGUUGUGAAAGUUUGCGGCUCAACCGUAAAAUUGCAGUUGAUACUGGAUAUCUUGAGUGCAGUUGAGGCAGGCGGAAUUCGUGGUGUAGCGGUGAAAUGCUUAGAUAUCACGAAGAACUCCGAUUGCGAAGGCAGCCUGCUAAGCUGCAACUGACAUUGAGGCUCGAAAGUGUGGGUAUCAAACAGGAUUAGAUACCCUGGUAGUCCACACGGUAAACGAUGAAUACUCGCUGUUUGCGAUAUACAGCAAGCGGCCAAGCGAAAGCGUUAAGUAUUCCACCUGGGGAGUACGCCGGCAACGGUGAAACUCAAAGGAAUUGACGGGGGCCCGCACAAGCGGAGGAACAUGUGGUUUAAUUCGAUGAUACGCGAGGAACCUUACCCGGGCUUAAAUUGCAGAUGAAUUACGGUGAAAGCCGUAAGCCGCAAGGCAUCUGUGAAGGUGCUGCAUGGUUGUCGUCAGCUCGUGCCGUGAGGUGUCGGCUUAAGUGCCAUAACGAGCGCAACCCUUGUUGUCAGUUACUAACAGGUUCCGCUGAGGACUCUGACAAGACUGCCAUCGUAAGAUGUGAGGAAGGUGGGGAUGACGUCAAAUCAGCACGGCCCUUACGUCCGGGGCUACACACGUGUUACAAUGGGGGGGUACAGAGGGCCGCUACCACGCGAGUGGAUGCCAAUCCCAAAAACCUCUCUCAGUUCGGACUGGAGUCUGCAACCCGACUCCACGAAGCUGGAUUCGCUAGUAAUCGCGCAUCAGCCACGGCGCGGUGAAUACGUUCCCGGGCCUUGUACACACCGCCCGUCAAGCCAUGGGAGCCGGGGGUACCUGAAGUGCGUAACCGCGAGGAGCGCCCUAGGGUAAAACUGGUGACUGGGG